RNAcentral lists this ribosomal RNA (563 nucleotides) under uncultured Glomeromycotina. RNAcentral's name for it is "SSU rRNA". It matches the Rfam family "Eukaryotic small subunit ribosomal RNA", at positions 548 to 1114 of the family's 1831-position model. The record is from RNAcentral. Lineage: Eukaryota; Fungi; Glomeromycota.
UUGGAGGGCAAGUCUGGUGCCAGCAGCCGCGGUAAUUCCAGCUCCAAUAGCGUAUAUUAAAGUUGUUGCAGUUAAAAAGCUCGUAGUUGAAUUUCGGGAUCAAGGAAUCGGUCAUGCCUCGGUAUGUACUGGUUUUAUUGGUUCUCACCUUCUAAAGAACCAUAAUGUCAUUUAUUUGGUGUUAUGGGGAAUUAGGACUGUUACCUUGAAAAAAUUAGAGUGUUUAAAGCAAGCUACACUUGAAUACAUUAGCAUGGAAUAAUGAAAUAGGACAUCCGAUUCUAUUUUGUUGGUUUCUAGGAUCGAUGUAAUGAUUAAUAGGGAUAGUUGGGGGCAUUAGUAUUCAAUUGUCAGAGGUGAAAUUCUUGGAUUUAUUGAAGACUAACUACUGCGAAAGCAUUUGCCAAGGAUGUUUUCAUUAAUCAAGAACGAAAGUUAGGGGAUCGAAGACGAUCAGAUACCGUCGUAGUCUUAACCAUAAACUAUGCCGACUAGGGAUCGGAUGAUGUUUAUUUUUUAGUGACUCAUUCGGCACCUUACGGGAAACCAAAGUGUUUGGGUUC